AAAAUGACUCUCGGCAACGGAUAUCUCGGCUCUCGCAUCGAUGAAGAACGUAGCGAAAUGCGAUACUUGGUGUGAAUUGCAGAAUCCCGUGAACCAUCGAGUUUUUGAACGCAAGUUGCGCCCAAAGCCAUUAGGCUAAGGGCACGUCUGCCUGGGCGUCACGCAUCACGUCACCC
This 176-nucleotide ribosomal RNA is filed under the name Ilex argentina. RNAcentral's name for it is "5.8S ribosomal RNA". The stretch from base 6 to 161 matches the Rfam family "5.8S ribosomal RNA". From Rfam's summary of the family: 5.8S ribosomal RNA (5.8S rRNA) is a component of the large subunit of the eukaryotic ribosome. It is transcribed by RNA polymerase I as part of the 45S precursor that also contains 18S and 28S rRNA. Functionally, it is thought that 5.8S rRNA may be involved in ribosome translocation. The record is from RNAcentral. Lineage: Eukaryota; Viridiplantae; Streptophyta; Magnoliopsida; Aquifoliales; Aquifoliaceae.